UACGAAGGGGGCUAGCGUUGCUCGGAAUCACUGGGCGUAAAGCGCACGUAGGCGGCUUUUUAAGUCAGGGGUGAAAUCCUGGAGCUCAACUCCAGAACUGCCCUUGAUACUGAGAAGCUUGAGUCCGGGAGAGGUGAGUGGAACUGCGAGUGUAGAGGUGAAAUUCGUAGAUAUUCGCAAGAACACCAGUGGCGAAGGCGGCUCACUGGCCCGGUACUGACGCUGAGGUGCGAAAGCGUGGGGAGCAAACAGG
Molecule: ribosomal RNA, 253 nt
Filed under: uncultured bacterium
Lineage: Bacteria
Description: partial 16S ribosomal RNA
Rfam family: Bacterial small subunit ribosomal RNA
Source: RNAcentral